This is a long non-coding RNA of Helianthus annuus (common sunflower), 496 nucleotides long. RefSeq lists it as uncharacterized. The transcript is spliced from 3 exons. The record is from RefSeq and is a predicted model, not a curated record. NCBI's taxonomy places the organism in Eukaryota, Viridiplantae, Streptophyta, Magnoliopsida, Asterales, Asteraceae.
GGUUGGAUCGAUCAAGCAGAAGGAGAACAAGGUGAAACCCUUGUUCUCCAAAUUCAGCAAAUUGAAGAGGAAAUUCAAGGAUAAUCCAAUGCAUGAACUUCGAUUUACACUCAUCUAAACUCGAUUAUUGAAGUGGCGUGAAGGAAGAAGGUACAAGCACUAGGAAAACGGAAGGCACGCAAGACCGAGGUAAAACUCCACUUUAGGCGAUUUGCAUAUAUGGAGCGAGCACGUGUUCAUGCCUUAUUAUACCAAGCGCUUCCGCUAGUUUAUAUGCACACUUUUUGGGUCCAUGUCUUGUUACUUUGUUUGAUCUUGUUAGAAGUCAUACACUGAAAACUUGUUGUCUUAGUUUUAGGAAGUUUAAAGUUGAAAUGGGUCGUAGAUUGUCGUUAGUUUAUUGUGUUAAAAACAGGGGGUACGUUCGUUGUACGAACGGGUCAUGCCCAAUUUUUGUAAGAAUUUCAUUAUGUAUCAAAUUUGGUGUUUUGAUGUC